RNAcentral lists this ribosomal RNA (255 nucleotides) under uncultured bacterium. RNAcentral's name for it is "partial 16S ribosomal RNA". It matches the Rfam family "Bacterial small subunit ribosomal RNA", at positions 526 to 779 of the family's 1533-position model. The record is from RNAcentral.
CGUAGGUGGCAAGCGUUGUCCGGAUUUAUUGGGCGUAAAGCGAGCGCAGGCGGUCUUCUAAGUCUGAUGUGAAAGCCCCCGGCUCAACCGGGGAGGGUCAUUGGAAACUGGGAGACUUGAGUGCAGAAGAGGAGAGUGGAAUUCCAAGUGUAGCGGUGAAAUGCGUAGAUAUUUGGAGGAACACCAGUGGCGAAGGCGACUCUCUGGUCUGUAACUGACGCUGAGGCUCGAAAGCGUGGGGGAGCAAACAGGAUU